AUACGGAAGGUCCGGGCGUUAUCCGGAUUUAUUGGGUUUAAAGGGAGCGCAGGCGGAGGUGCAAGCGUGCCGUGAAAGCGCGGGGCUCACCCCCGUACAGCGGCGCGAACUGCUCCCCUUGGUUGCGGGAAGGGAAGGCGGAACUCGUGGUGUAGCGGUGAAAUGCAUAGAUAUCACGAAGAACUCCGAUCGCGAAGGCAGCCUUCCGGCCCGCCAACGACGCUCAUGCUCGAAGGCGCGGGUAUCAAACAGGAUUAGAUACCCUGGUAGUCCGCGCGGUAAACGAUGAACACUCGGGAUUUGCCCCCUGUGGGUGAGUCCCCCAGCGAAAGCGUUAAGUGUUCCACCUGGGGAGUACGCCGGCAACGGUGAAACUCAAAUGAAUUGACGGGG
This 393-nucleotide ribosomal RNA is filed under the name uncultured bacterium. Its description in RNAcentral is "partial 16S ribosomal RNA". It matches the Rfam family "Bacterial small subunit ribosomal RNA", at positions 523 to 918 of the family's 1533-position model. The record is from RNAcentral.